UGCAAGUAGAACGCUGAAGAGAGGAGCUUGCUCUUCUUGGAUGAGUUGCGAACGGGUGAGUAACGCGUAGGUAACCUGCCUUGUAGCGGGGGAUAACUAUUGGAAACGAUAGCUAAUACCGCAUAACAAUGGAUGACACAUGUCAUUUAUUUGAAAGGGGCAAUUGCUCCACUACAAGAUGGACCUGCGUUGUAUUAGCUAGUAGGUGAGGUAAUGGCUCACCUAGGCGACGAUACAUAGCUGACCUGAGAGGGUGAUCGGCCACACUGGGACUGAGACACGGCCCAGACUCCUACGGGAGGCAGCAGUAGGGAAUCUUCGGCAAUGGGGGCAACCCUGACCGAGCAACGCCGCGUGAGUGAAGAAGGUUUUCGGAUCGUAAAGCUCUGUUGUAAGUCAAGAACGGGUGUGAGAGUGGAAAGUUCACACUGUGACGGUAGCUUACCAGAAAGGGACGGCUAACUACGUGCCAGCAGCCGCGGUAAUACGUAGGUCCCGAGCGUUGUCCGGAUUUAUUGGGCGUAAAGCGAGCGCAGGCGGUUUGAUAAGUCUGAAGUUAAAGGCUGUGGCUCAACCAUAGUUCGCUUUGGAAACUGUCAAACUUGAGUGCAGAAGGGGAGAGUGGAAUUCCAUGUGUAGCGGUGUAAUGCGUAGAUAUAUGGAGGAACACCGGUGGCGAAAGCGGCUCUCCGGUCUGUAACUGACGCUGAGGCUCGAAAGCGUGGGGAGCGAACAGGAUUAGAUACCCUGGUAGUCCACGCCGUAAACGAUGAGUGCUAGGUGUUGGAUCCUUUCCGGGAUUCAGUGCCGCAGCUAACGCAUUAAGCACUCCGCC
This 835-nucleotide ribosomal RNA is filed under the name uncultured Streptococcus sp. Its description in RNAcentral is "bacterial SSU rRNA". It matches the Rfam family "Bacterial small subunit ribosomal RNA", at positions 56 to 873 of the family's 1533-position model. Lineage: Bacteria; Bacillati; Bacillota; Bacilli; Lactobacillales; Streptococcaceae. The record is from RNAcentral.